CGUGUAGGCGGUUUUUUUAAGUCUGAUGUGAAAGCCCCGGGCUCAACCCGGGAAGUGCAUUGGAUACUGGGAGACUUGAAUACGGGAGAGGGUAGUGGAAUUCCUAGUGUAGGAGUGAAAUCCGUAGAUAUUAGGAGGAACACCGGUGGCGAAGGCGGCUACCUGGACCGAUAUUGACGCUGAGACGCGAAAGCGUGGGGGAGCAAACAGGAUUAGAUACCCUGGUAGUCCACGCCGUAAACGAUGAGAACUAGGUGUUGCGGGUAUUGACCCCUGCAGUGCCGCAGCUAACGCAUUAAGUUCUCCGCCUGGGAAGUACGGUCGCAAGACUAAA
RNAcentral lists this ribosomal RNA (334 nucleotides) under uncultured bacterium. RNAcentral describes it as "bacterial SSU rRNA". It matches the Rfam family "Bacterial small subunit ribosomal RNA", at positions 568 to 898 of the family's 1533-position model. The record is from RNAcentral.